GACGAACGCUGGCGGCGUGCUCAACACAUGCAAGUCGAACGGAAAGGCCCUGCUUUUGUGGGGUGCUCGAGUGGCGAACGGGUGAGUAACACGUGAGUAACCUGCCCUUGACUUUGGGAUAACUUCAGGAAACUGGGGCUAAUACCGGAUAGGAGCUCCUGCUGCAUGGUGGGGGUUGGAAAGUUUCGGCGGUUGGGGAUGGACUCGCGGCUUAUCAGCUUGUUGGUGGGGUAGUGGCUUACCAAGGCUUUGACGGGUAGCCGGCCUGAGAGGGUGACCGGCCACAUUGGGACUGAGAUACGGCCCAGACUCCUACGGGAGGCAGCAGUGGGGAAUAUUGCACAAUGGGCGGAAGCCUGAUGCAGCAACGCCGCGUGCGGGAUGACGGCCUUCGGGUUGUAAACCGCUUUCGCCUGUGACGAAGCGUGAGUGACGGUAAUGGGUAAAGAAGCACCGGCUAACUACGUGCCAGCAGCCGCGGUGAUACGUAGGGUGCGAGCGUUGUCCGGAUUUAUUGGGCGUAAAGGGCUCGUAGGUGGUUGAUCGCGUCGGAAGUGUAAUCUUGGGGCUUAACCCUGAGCGUGCUUUCGAUACGGGUUGACUUGAGGAAGGUAGGGGAGAAUGGAAUUCCUGGUGGAGCGGUGGAAUGCGCAGAUAUCAGGAGGAACACCAGUGGCGAAGGCGGUUCUCUGGGCCUUUCCUGACGCUGAGGAGCGAAAGCGUGGGGAGCGAACAGGCUUAGAUACCCUGGUAGUCCACGCUGUAAACGGUGGGUACUAGGUGUGGGGUCCAUUCCACGGGUUCCGUGCCGUAGCUAACGCUUUAAGUACCCCGCCUGGGGAGUACGGCCGCAAGGCUAAAACUCAAAGGAAUUGACGGGGCCCCGCACAAGCGGCGGAGCAUGCGGAUUAAUUCGAUGCAACGCGUAGAACCUUACCUGGGUUUGACAUGGAUCGGGAGUGCUCAGAGAUGGGUGUGCCUCUUUUGGGGUCGGUUCACAGGUGGUGCAUGGCUGUCGUCAGCUCGUGUCGUGAGAUGUUGGGUUAAGUCCCGCAACGAGCGCAACCCUUGUUCACUGUUGCCAGCACGUUAUGGUGGGGACUCAGUGGAGACCGCCGGGGUCAACUCGGAGGGAGGUGGGGAUGACGUCAAGUCAUCAUGCCCCUUAUGUCCAGGGCUUCACGCAUGCUACAAUGGCUGGUACAGAGAGUGGCGAGCCUGUGAGGGUGAGCGAAUCUCGGAAAGCCGGUCUCAGUUCGGAUUGGGGUCUGCAACUCGACCUCAUGAAGUCGGAGUCGCUAGUAAUCGCAGAUCAGCAACGCUGCGGUGAAUACGUUCCCGGG
RNAcentral lists this ribosomal RNA (1343 nucleotides) under uncultured bacterium. RNAcentral's name for it is "16S ribosomal RNA". It matches the Rfam family "Bacterial small subunit ribosomal RNA", at positions 28 to 1378 of the family's 1533-position model. The record is from RNAcentral.